Monopterus albus (swamp eel) is the source of this 707-nucleotide long non-coding RNA. RefSeq lists it as uncharacterized. The record is from RefSeq and is a predicted model, not a curated record. The transcript is spliced from 3 exons. NCBI's taxonomy places the organism in Eukaryota, Metazoa, Chordata, Actinopteri, Synbranchiformes, Synbranchidae.
GUCAUUAUAACAUCAUUUUGAGAACGGAAUGUGCUUACUUUGUGGAUAAUACUGUGAAGUCCCGCGGUGAAUCCAGCGUCCAAACAAGCAAGGCAGUCUUUUUUAGCUAUGUCUCCCGUCCUGUAAUUACUCUGAUUAGUGUUAGUUAUCUUACUUAUCCACGUGUUUUCAUACUGUGUAGGUUUCCCAAAGAUAAAGGGCUGUGAAAGCAAUGGGAAACAGCUCUCAGAAGGGAAAGGUUUUCUGCUACAGUAGCUCGUGAACUGUGCUCUGCAGUGAGCAUUUCAGACAGGAGGACUUCGACAGGACAGGUCAGACAGUUAGGAUCAGAAAUGGAGUUAUUCCUUCUGUCUUCUGUUUCCCAGCUCAUCUCCAAAAGGACCAUUCUUAUGCAAUGCUUUCAUCACCCAGUGAAAUCAUGGACAGACUCAGUGAAGCUUUAGCUAGGGUGAAAAAAGAGAAGAGGAAUGCUCAGGACAGAGAAAGGAGGGCAAAGAAAACUUUCUGUGGUCUUCUGGAGGAUCUGAGGGGGAAAAAAAAUUAUAAAUGAAGAAUUGAAAGAGCGUCUUGAGUCAUACUCAGAUCUUCCACUACACCUGCUGUCAAAACAGAGCCAUGAGUACACCAAAGACCAGAGGGAGUUUGCUGCCACUCUCCACUUACAUGGUCCCAAAGCGUAUAAAUAUCUGAGUCUCUCCAGAUUAAUA